CCUACGGGAGGCAGCAGUGGGGAAUAUUGGGCAAUGGGCGCAAGCCUGACCCAGCAACGCCGCGUGAAGGAAGACGGCUUUCGGGGUGUAAACUUCUUUUGACAGGGAAGAGUAGAAGACGGUACCUGUCGAAUAAGCCACGUCUAACUACGUGCCAGCAGCCGCGGUAAUACGUAGGUGGCAAGCGUUGUCCGGAUUUACUGGGUGUAAAGGGCGUGUAGCCGGGUUGACAAGUCAGAUGUGAAAGCCUGCGGCUUAACCGCAGAACUGCAUUUGAAACUGUUGAUCUUGAGUACUGGAGAGGCAGACGGAAUUCAUAGUGUAGCGGUGAAAUGCGUAGAUAUUAGGAGGAACACCAGUGGCGAAGGCGGGUUACUGGACUGUAACUGACGUUGAGGCUCGAAAGCGUGGGGAGCAAACAGGAUUAGAUACCCCAGUAGUC
This 442-nucleotide ribosomal RNA is filed under the name uncultured bacterium. Its description in RNAcentral is "partial 16S ribosomal RNA". It matches the Rfam family "Bacterial small subunit ribosomal RNA", at positions 338 to 795 of the family's 1533-position model. The record is from RNAcentral.